UUACGAGAAAGUGGGGUAAGUAGUUGGACCUGACCAUCGGCAGUGAAAGAGAUAGAAGCCUGUAGGCGAGACAGUACAUCUGCUCCUAAGAGGUUAAUAGGACAGGUAGAUAAAACAAUGAAACGGGAAAGGAUGUUAGAACCGACACGCAAGAGUUUUGUUAAUGGGUUAUUUCGGGGGGUACCAUCAACACCCACACAAGAAACAUCGAGGUCAGACAAAUAAGAAAGAUCUGGCAGGUCUUGUUCUCUGAGAACACUGCGGGCUGCACCUGUGUCAACUAGCAUGGUAGUGGGAUGACCCUCGACUGGUAGUACUAUGGUAGCUAGGGGCCCCUCUUUAUCCCCUGCAGACACUGCCAUAACAGGGGUGUCAGACACAGGUUUGCCUGUUACCUAUUGUACGAGAUCUAGGUAAGACUGAUCGGGGCCAGUGUAAUGAUGUGUAGUAGGAUGACUUGUUUGAUGGUUUUGGUGGGCAGGACGAUAAUGUGUAGAUGCUGAGUUAUCAGUCUGCUGAAUGUCAUUUGAAUCAUAAGUAUCUGUGGGAGGAUGCGUGUUAAAUUGACUGGGUUGAUAAGUAGUUUGGUUGUAAUCCUGCGGUGGGUAAUAUGGUCGGUGUGACUGUGGAUGUGUCUGUGAAGGGUAACCAUGUUGAGGACUCCCAUAUGUGGUUGUGUGUGUGUAGGGGUGUAAAGAAGGUCUGAUAGUUAGUGG
This is a non-coding RNA of Pelobates cultripes (western spadefoot toad), 716 nucleotides long. NCBI's taxonomy places the organism in Eukaryota, Metazoa, Chordata, Amphibia, Anura, Pelobatidae. The record is from the annotation of a GenBank genome assembly.